RNAcentral lists this ribosomal RNA (414 nucleotides) under Boana boans group sp. ABGD cluster 15. RNAcentral's name for it is "partial large subunit ribosomal RNA". It matches the Rfam family "Archaeal large subunit ribosomal RNA", at positions 1927 to 2490 of the family's 2987-position model. Lineage: Eukaryota; Metazoa; Chordata; Amphibia; Anura; Hylidae. The record is from RNAcentral.
CUUGAAUAAAAUAAGAGGUCCAGCCUGCCCAGUGAAAUUAUUUAACGGCCGCGGUAUCCUAACCGUGCGAAGGUAGCGUAAUCACUUGUUCUUUAAAUGAGGACUAGUAUGAAUGGCACCACGAGGGUUCUACUGUCUCCUUUUUUUAAUCAGUGAAACUAAUCUCCCCGUGAAGAAGCGGGGAUCUUUAUAUAAGACGAGAAGACCCUAUGGAGCUUUAAACAACCAACAUUUGCUACACCACAACAUUUUUCCUAAAAGAAGUAUAGCAUUAUGAUUUCUAGUUUUCGAUUGGGGUGAUCACGGAGUAAAAUGUAACCUCCAUGCCGAAAGGGUUUUUACCCUGAGCAAAAAGCCACAGCUUUAAACACUAAAAAAUUAACGCAGUUUGACCCAAUAUUUUGAUCAACGAAC